RNA transcript from Musa acuminata AAA Group (dessert banana), 1198 nucleotides. RefSeq lists it as uncharacterized. The record is from RefSeq and is a predicted model, not a curated record. NCBI's taxonomy places the organism in Eukaryota, Viridiplantae, Streptophyta, Magnoliopsida, Zingiberales, Musaceae. The transcript is spliced from 6 exons.
CAAUAACCACGUCAUUCCUUUAUCCUGAGGACGUCUGUUUCUCUCCCAAGAGCGGAAGCACGCGGAGCGGCGGAGGAGCGUACCUGCAAACCGUGCUACAGUAUCGGAUCUGGAGCGUCUACCGCGGGGGCGAUGGAGGAGAGCUCGUCGGCCGGCAGCGCCGAUCGAGGCGGAGGCGAUGCCGGAGAUUCGCUGCGUAAUGCGAGCCAGGGCAAAUCCUGCAAGGGCUGCCUGUAUUACUCCUCGCUCCUCAAAUCGGACUCCAGAAACCCUUUAUGCCUUGGCCUCACGAGGCCGCUCAAACAUGUAGUUCCUAGCUCCAUUGUGGGGGAAUCUGAGAUGGAAGCUGAUAAAGAAGGUCGAAGCCUUUCGGACUUCAGAUACGUUUGCGUUGGUUAUUCAGUGUUCUUAAAUGACAAAGAAAAUACCACUGAAAAUCAAGAGAAUCAAGCAAAGUUGCCUUUUUGUGUGGGCCUUGAGCUGUUAGUGGAUAGGAAAACAUCAGCAGCUGAGCAUGUGCCCACUCAUGUGCACAAUAAGGAAGGCCUUGAUCUGCUGACGAUUACAAGUAGAAUGUAAUGGAGAAUGGCUAAUUAGAGCUUUGCCAGGGUCUUUUACACUUUGACCAUUGUUUCUCUAGAUGAGACUUUCUGCCUUGAUGCUGUUCGAUGAAAUAUAUCUAUUAUGGUUGGUUGUGCAACUUUUUUGUGUGGUAAAAUAUUUCAUCUCUGAACCACGAUCAACAGGGGUCCAAAAAUUUACAGUUCCUAUUCAUUCGCAUAGGGAGGAAGCUAAAACGGUACAUUUGCCCCAGAAUAACUUCUUUAGCAAGUUUUCCAGGAGCGCGGGGCUUGUGGCGUCAGGUGUAGUUAAAAACCUCGUCAGAGUGGGUUACUCUAUAAAGAAUAAUUUCGAAGAUAUACUGUAUGAUCGCAGGCGUCCCAAGUAAACUCGUAUCUGAUGCACCUUGUUGAUCUCAAUUCACAGUAACACAAUAAUGUUUGGCGUUAUGUUCAGAUUAUUAUUGUGUAAGAUGAUGACGAUUACACCCGUGACAGAGAGCUGGGGAUCGACUGGCCAAUGGUAGAUUGCAUCACCUUGUUAGUCAUUUGCCAACAAUGUCCGGCUACAACUUGUUGAAUAUUGACAGACUGUUAAAAUAGAAACCAUAUUCUUAAUAAUUUUCACUUUGAGAAUA